RNAcentral lists this ribosomal RNA (167 nucleotides) under Brevundimonas diminuta. Its description in RNAcentral is "partial 16S ribosomal RNA". It matches the Rfam family "Bacterial small subunit ribosomal RNA", at positions 338 to 522 of the family's 1533-position model. The record is from RNAcentral. Lineage: Bacteria; Pseudomonadati; Pseudomonadota; Alphaproteobacteria; Caulobacterales; Caulobacteraceae. RNAcentral also lists the same sequence under 2 other names.
CCUACGGGAGGCAGCAGUGGGGAAUCUUGCGCAAUGGGCGAAAGCCUGACGCAGCCAUGCCGCGUGAAUGAUGAAGGUCUUAGGAUUGUAAAAUUCUUUCACCGGGGACGAUAAUGACGGUACCCGGAGAAGAAGCCCCGGCUAACUUCGUGCCAGCAGCCGCGGUA